UACGUAGGGUGCAAGCGUUGUCCGGAAUUAUUGGGCGUAAAGCGCACGUAGGCGGAUCGUUAAGUCGGGGGUGAAAUCCUGGAGCUCAACUCCAGAACUGCCUUCGAUACUGGCGAUCUUGAGUCCGGAAGAGGUGAGUGGAACUCCUAGUGUAGAGGUGGAAUUCGUAGAUAUUAGGAAGAACACCAGUGGCGAAGGCGGCUCACUGGUCCGGUACUGACGCUGAGGUGCGAAAGCGUGGGGAGCAAACAGG
Molecule: ribosomal RNA, 253 nt
Filed under: uncultured bacterium
Lineage: Bacteria
Description: partial 16S ribosomal RNA
Rfam family: Bacterial small subunit ribosomal RNA
Source: RNAcentral